GAUGAACGCUGGCGGCGUGCCUAAUACAUGCAAGUCGAGCGAACAGACGAGGAGCUUGCUCCUCUGACGUUAGCGGCGGACGGGUGAGUAACACGUGGAUAACCUACCUAUAAGACUGGGAUAACUUCGGGAAACCGGAGCUAAUACCGGAUAAUAUAUUGAACCGCAUGGUUCAAUAGUGAAAGACGGUUUUGCUGUCACUUAUAGAUGGAUCCGCGCCGCAUUAGCUAGUUGGUAAGGUAACGGCUUACCAAGGCGACGAUGCGUAGCCGACCUGAGAGGGUGAUCGGCCACACUGGAACUGAGACACGGUCCAGACUCCUACGGGAGGCAGCAGUAGGGAAUCUUCCGCAAUGGGCGGAAGCCUGACGGAGCAACGCCGCGUGGGUGAUGAAGGUCUUCGGAUCGUAAAACUCUGUUAUUAGGGAAGAACAAAUGUGUAAGUAACUAUGCACGUCUUGACGGUACCUAAUCAGAAAGCCACGGCUAACUACGUG
Molecule: ribosomal RNA, 497 nt
Filed under: uncultured bacterium
Lineage: Bacteria
Description: partial 16S ribosomal RNA
Rfam family: Bacterial small subunit ribosomal RNA
Source: RNAcentral